This 487-nucleotide long non-coding RNA is filed under the name Trifolium pratense (red clover). Its description in RNAcentral is "long non-coding RNA (TPRA_LNC011911)". The record is from RNAcentral. Lineage: Eukaryota; Viridiplantae; Streptophyta; Magnoliopsida; Fabales; Fabaceae.
CUUGAACUCAUGAUACCGAAAAAGACCUUCUCCAUGGUAUGCAAAACAAAUUUCUUCGUUCUGAUGUAGAUCAAAUACCUCCCUCAUCUCAUUCCAUCCAUCCAUCCAUAAGAAGAGGAUGAUUUUGGUCUUUGUUGAAUGUCACAAGAUGGUGUUUAUAUCGAUAAUCCAUGAUUCUUCAUUUUGCAGGAAGUUCUUCGCCGAACUCAAGAACAAAAGCUGGAUCCACCUCUCCAAAUCUCUGAUUCAAAUUUAACCAUUCAAUUGAUAAAUUAGUUUAAACAGAUAUGAAUAUAUUGUCAUUCAACAUUAUUAGAGAAUCAAAUCAAAUUUUCAUAAAUAAAACAGAGUAUAUUGAUUUACCUGACUAGUGAAAAACAUGGUUGUAAAAGUACCGAUUGGUGUGAGAUCGAUGUAAUCACUGUAGUAAGUCUCCAUGAAGAUGAGAAAUGUUGCUACCAAACUCUGUUUUACACAAAUGAAAUAA